RNAcentral lists this ribosomal RNA (273 nucleotides) under uncultured Prauserella sp. RNAcentral describes it as "partial 16S ribosomal RNA". It matches the Rfam family "Bacterial small subunit ribosomal RNA", at positions 524 to 796 of the family's 1533-position model. The record is from RNAcentral. Lineage: Bacteria; Bacillati; Actinomycetota; Actinomycetes; Pseudonocardiales; Pseudonocardiaceae.
UACGUAGGGUGCGAGCGUUGUCCGGAAUUAUUGGGCGUAAAGAGCUCGUAGGCGGUUUGUCGCGUCGGCCGUGGAAACCGGGGGCUUAACCCUCGGCGUGCGGUCGAUACGGGCAGACUUGAGUUCGGCAGGGGAGACUGGAAUUCCUGGUGUAGCGGUGGAAUGCGCAGAUAUCAGGAGGAACACCGGUGGCGAAGGCGGGUCUCUGGGCCGGUACUGACGCUGAGGAGCGAAAGCGUGGGGAGCAAACAGGAUUAGAAACCCCAGUAGUCC